This 759-nucleotide ribosomal RNA is filed under the name uncultured bacterium. RNAcentral's name for it is "bacterial SSU rRNA". It matches the Rfam family "Bacterial small subunit ribosomal RNA", at positions 8 to 796 of the family's 1533-position model. The record is from RNAcentral.
AGAGUUUGAUCCUGGCUCAGGGUAAACGCUGGCGGCGUGCCUAAAACAUGCAAGUCGAACGCGUACCUUCGGGUACGAGUGGCAGACGGCUGAGUAACGCGUGGGUGACGUACCGAUAGGUGGGGAAUAACUGCCCGAAAGGGUGGCUAAUUCCGCAUACGCCUGUUUCUGCAUUGGAACAGGGAAAGCCGCAAGGCGCCGAUUGAGCGGCCCGCGUCCGAUUAGCCAGUUGGUGGGGUAACGGCCUACCAAAGCGACGAUCGGUAGCUGGUCUCAGAGGAUGAUCAGCCAGACUGGGACUGAGACACGGCCCAGACUCCUACGGGAGGCAGCAGUUAGGAAUUUUGGGCAAUGGGCGCAAGCCUGACCCAGCAACGCCGCGUGGGUGACGAAGGCCUUCGGGUUGUAAAACCCUUUUCUGAGGGAAGAUGAUGACGGUACCCCAGGAAGAAGCACCGGCUAACUACGUGCCAGCAGCCGCGGUAAUACGUAGGGUGCAAGCGUUGCCCGGAUUUAUUGGGCGUAAAGGGCGCGUAGGCGGCUCGGCACGUCCGUUGUGAAAUCGCCCGGCUCAACUGGGCGGGGUCAGCGGAUACGGUCGAGCUGGAGCAAGCUAGGGGGCAAUGGAAUUCCCGGUGUAGUGGUGGAAUGCGUAGAUAUCGCGAGGAACAYCAGUGGCGAAGGCGGUUGCCUGGAGCUUUGCUGACGCUGAGGCGCGAAAGCGUGGGGAGCGAUCCGGAUUAGAUACCCGGGUAGUCC